UUUCAAUCAAGACGUAGCAAUUACAGUAAAGUUUCAAAAGCUUUCAUACAAUUUUUUGCUUCUCAUGUAAAAUUUUGUUUCAUGCAAUUAUACCAUUUUGUACAUCAGCCCCUAAAUGAUAUUAUUAAUUUCUUUUCUCAACAUC
Maniola jurtina (meadow brown) is the source of this 145-nucleotide long non-coding RNA. RefSeq lists it as uncharacterized. The record is from RefSeq and is a predicted model, not a curated record. Lineage: Eukaryota; Metazoa; Arthropoda; Insecta; Lepidoptera; Nymphalidae. The transcript is spliced from 3 exons.